GACCCGAUACACCCACGCCAUCUGGUGGAUGGCUAGGCUUGGGCGCCGAAGAAGGCCGUGACAAGCUGCGAUAAGCCCCGGGUAGAUGCAAGUAGUCUUUGAUCCGGGGAUCGCCGAAUGGGACUUCCUACCAGCGGCUAAUACCCGCUAGGUGUUCCAGCUCAUGGAACGGGAACCCCCCGAACUGAAACAUCUUAGUAGGGGGAGGAAAAGAAACCAAAAGGGAUUCCCUUAGUAGGGGCGACCCAACAGGGAAAAGGGCAAACCGAACCCACCAUGGAAACAUGGAAAAAAACUU
This 298-nucleotide ribosomal RNA is filed under the name Candidatus Jordarchaeia archaeon. RNAcentral describes it as "partial 23S ribosomal RNA". It matches the Rfam family "Archaeal large subunit ribosomal RNA", at positions 1 to 287 of the family's 2987-position model. The record is from RNAcentral. Lineage: Archaea; Promethearchaeati; Candidatus Jordarchaeia.